This 468-nucleotide ribosomal RNA is filed under the name uncultured bacterium. RNAcentral's name for it is "partial 16S ribosomal RNA". It matches the Rfam family "Bacterial small subunit ribosomal RNA", at positions 28 to 507 of the family's 1533-position model. The record is from RNAcentral.
GACGAACGCUGGCGGCGUGCUUAACACAUGCAAGUCGAACGGAAAGGCCCUGCUUUUGUGGGGUGCUCGAGUGGCGAACGGGUGAGUAACACGUGAGUAACCUGCCCUUGACUUUGGGAUAACUUCAGGAAACUGGGGCUAAUACCGGAUAGGAGCUCCUGCUGCAUGGUGGGGGUUGGAAAGUUUCGGCGGUUGGGGAUGGACUCGCGGCUUAUCAGCUUGUUGGUGGGGUAGUGGCUUACCAAGGCUUUGACGGGUAGCCGGCCUGAGAGGGUGACCGGCCACAUUGGGCCUGAGAUACGGCCCAGACUCCUACGGGAGGCAGCAGUGGGGAAUAUUGCACAAUGGGCGGAAGCCUGAUGCAGCAACGCCGCGUGCGGGAUGACGGCCUUCGGGUUGUAAACCGCCUUCGCCUGUGACGAAGCGUGAGUGACGGUAAUGGGUAAAGAAGCACCGGCUAACUACGUG